UACAGAGGUGGCAAGCGUUGUUCGGAUUUACUGGGCGUAAAGGGUGCGUAGGAGGUCGUGUGUGUCGGAUGUGAAAUCUUGCUGUUUAUCGGCAAAACUGCAUUCGAAACUACAUGGCUAGAGUACAGGAGAGGAGAGCAGAAUUCUCGGUGUAGCGGUGAAAUGCGUUGAUAUCGAGAGGAAUGCCGGUGGUGAAGACGGCUCUCUGGACUGUAACUGACUCUGAGGCACGAAAGCUAGGGGAGCAAACAGG
RNAcentral lists this ribosomal RNA (253 nucleotides) under uncultured bacterium. RNAcentral's name for it is "partial 16S ribosomal RNA". It matches the Rfam family "Bacterial small subunit ribosomal RNA", at positions 524 to 776 of the family's 1533-position model. The record is from RNAcentral.